UACAGAGGUCCCAAGCGUUGUUCGGAUUCACUGGGCGUAAAGGGUGCGUAGGCGGUCGGGUAAGUCUGAUGUGAAAUCUCACAGCUUAACUGUGAAACUGCAUUGGACACUAUCCGGCUCGAGGAAUGGAGGGGAGACUGGAAUACUUGGUGUAGCAGUGAAAUGCGUAGAUAUUGGGAGGAACACCAGUGGCGCAAGCGGCUAUCUGGACUGACAUUGACGCUGAGGCACGAAAGCGUGGGGAUCAAACAGG
Molecule: ribosomal RNA, 253 nt
Filed under: uncultured bacterium
Lineage: Bacteria
Description: partial 16S ribosomal RNA
Rfam family: Bacterial small subunit ribosomal RNA
Source: RNAcentral